AUAUAACUUGAUUUUGUGUCUGAAUUACGGAAAAUAACUGCCUGGGGAUGGAAACCUCCAGUUGUGCAGGCUCACACUGCUGAGAUCUUCACGCAGAGACAAAGAGCGCGGCCUAAACAUCAGAAAAGGAUUUGGAGGUGAGAAUGCAACACCACGACUGGGUCUGGAGUUACCUGCACCUGCAAAGGAAAAAUGAUCUCAUCUGGACAACAGGACACAAAGACCCACCCCGUAGGGGUGCUCAUAGCCCAAGGCCCUGCUCUGAUGUAAUUGUAUCCAUCGUGGGAGAAGCCCCCUGUUGGACUUCAGUCUGACUCCAGCUGGUGUGGGGUCACCUGGGAGCUGCUGGGACUGUUCACAGCACUCCCAGCCUCGCAGCAUUGAGGCCCAGAUGUCAGACUGGUUUUGACAGAUGGAUAAAGCAGCAGGGCAGAGGUGGGCAGGAGCACACAGGCAGGAAACAGACAGAGUUGUAGCAGUGAGCAAGGAAAUCCAAAACGGACAGACACUAAUUCCCACACGUGCUUUAUCACUCGGGGUGAUAUAGGAUAGUAAUAAAAGACGGCAACCACGCAAACAGGAUGAGUCUCUCUUUACAAUGACACAAUGCAGAGGGAGUAAACCACGCUUUCUCUGUACCUCAGCCACCCUGGGACAAGCUAUGGGUAUGGGAUUGAGGAGCUCUGCAGUUCCCCUCCCACCAAUUGCUGCAGCAAGCAACCCAAAGCAUCCCCCAGCAUCUGAGCUAGGAUUUCUGGGGGAUGUUGCCAUGACACACACCUGGCACUGAAAUACUUCAGCAACAACCAAACAUAGGUGGGUUUCCUUUGCUGAAAGCUGGCCAGGUAGUACUGCUUUGAUAUGGAAGCAGUUGGACCCAUCCCUAUUCCCAGCCUCAUCACAUCGCUGCCUGAAUCCAGUCAUGCUCUCAGCUCCCAGGCAGAGAACUCUGCAGAAGCUCCCAUCACAUCUCAGCUCCUCUUUCUUCACAGAGAGUAUAAGCAAAGUGUUUACCAAGCUGGGAACCCUGGGAAAAAGUGUCCAAAAAAACCCAAACAAAACAAAACAAAAAAACAACCACCUUAUAAGCCACUCUUCACCUUUGUGGAGUCUUUCCCCCAAGAUGGCUAUCUAAGAUUUUCUUCCCAAAAUAAUACUGUUAAGUGAAGCAUGAAUUUAUUUAAACUGAAGGAAAAUAGAAAAAGAUUGAAGUUACAGAAAACCAUGACUUCCAAGGGCAAAAUUUGGUUUUGAGUUUUAGAGAUUUGACUUCCAUGAACUUCAGUACUUUCUUUACAAGUAAAACCUCACAAUGUGGGGGACAUCAAUAUUUAAAUUUACUUUUUCUCCUGAAAUUAUUUAUAAAAGUCUAUCUUCUGCCCCAUCUCCACAUCCCAUUGCCAAAACCCAAGCACAAGGCAAGACCAAGCUGGUGGCUCAGCAAUCCCUCCCACUGCCUUCAACACACUGAGAAGAGCAAAGAGCCACAGUUGUGCACAGGGUUUAAUCAGGAACACAUAGAUAUCUGUUUUCAUAAAACAACUAAGAAGCCACUAUGACUGCUGCAGUACAAUCACAGCACAGGUCAGAGAAUAGUCUCUUGGUGAAGCUGCCCUAACAGAACACUGCUCAGAGCAGAGCACAUCCAUGUAUGCCCUCUUGUUCAUGAGGGAUUCCAGCUACAUGGUCCACAGAAAUGGUGAAGAAACCAUGACACAGCAUGACUGGGAACAUCCCCUACAAGAGCAGAUCUUUGCAAGGAACUUUGGCGUAUCGCUUAGAAACCACCCCACCCCAUCAGAGCCCUGUCCAGGUUCCUCAGAGCAGGGAGAUGGUUAAAACCUGUCAUCCUGCACGGUCAUUCUGCAAGGCUCAUACGUGAAAUUUUGGCAUUUCCAUCAUGGAAACAGGCAACUAGGCUCAUUUCCUCCUCUCACCACCAGACUGAUUAGCUGCAAGCCCAGGCAGACAGCUGAAAUCCCAUCUUGCUUACUUCCUACUCACUCUCUUUUUCCUCUGGUAAUGCUCCUGCCAGGAGUGAUUUCAUUCACUCCUAACAUAAUGGCCUUUUCCCUCCCCUUAGGCCAGGAGCACACCUCUGUCAUGGAGAAUUUCCCUCUGUCUUGUACCUUCCACCCCAUCUGCCUGUAGCUGGGCUGGCAGGUUGGGUUUUUUCACUCUGUUUAAAAUGCUUUUGAAACAAAGGCUCUUUAAUCCCCCUUGGCCUGGCCAGGCACCUCUGUCAGUCCCAUCCUGAUAGUGCAGGCAAAGGAAGGAUCUCACAUGGAGAUGCUCAUGAGGUGGUGGAACCAAGUGUGAUGUUGCUUGGAGAGCGAUCUCCUAGAACCACGUCCUAACGCCUGGCAGAAGGGACAAGGCCAGGAGCAGGACACCUGCCUCCACAUUCCCCAGCCCUUCUGCCCAAAGUGGGGACAUCUUGUCAUAUAUCUGUGCUGCUGGAGAAGUUGAUUUUCUAGAGAGGAGAUAUCCUGGCUUAGAUUUUAGAGACCUCGUCUGCUUUUGAGAGCAUCCCACAGAUGAUCGAUGACUAAAAGUUCACACAAAAGGAAAUUUCAAGAAAAGGGUCUUCAGCCACAACAGGCCAUUGCUCACCACAUAAUUUCCCCAUGAUAAGGCAAGAGAGGCAAUUCAGACUCAAAUCAGACUGGACAACUGUGAAUCACAGCGUUUGUCUCACAUUCCUCCUAGCCAAAACUAUCCCUGCUCAGUCCUGCUUGGGGCUGGGAGUAUCAACCCAGAAACCUUUUCAUUAUUUUGGAGGUCCACAGAAAUCCACUGAAACCUUCUCCACUUCUGAAAAGCUGUGGUCACCGGGAUCCUCCAUGUGGGAUGGGAACCUCCACAUCUCAGCAGCAUUGGAUGCAGGGAGGCAGAUGACACCAGCACCAGAUCCCAUCAGAGUUGGGUGCACAGGAAAAGUAGAUUGUAGUUCACCCAUCACCUCUUAGUUCUGGAGAUCCCCACACAUCACUUCUGCUCCUGCCUCAGUGGAUACAAACCCAGCUGCAUCUUGCCUUGUCAGGACAUGGGAUUUGCCUAAUUACUUCUGCUUGGAUGAGCCCAUGCCAGGCUUGGUCUAUCUAUAAGAGAGGCUUGGAUCUCCAACAUCUCCUUCCAUUGGCUUUACAUCGUCAUGCCUGCAGCUCUCAGGGCUGUUCCACAACCCACUUUUCCUGCUCACAACCCUCACCCCACAGCACUAACACUCAGCUCACUGGUCUGCCCAACUUGUGUUAGGAAAUCCCAUAGGCAACACAGAGCUGGCUUUGCCUUGCAGAGUCACAAAGGCCCAAGGCUGGCAGUUGCUAAUUAUUCUUUCGCUGCUUGCUGUCUUGUUAAGGAGCUGGGGGAUGCAUGUGGGCAGCCAACAAAAACCCAGGGGAUGGACAACAAACAGAGCAUCAGGGAAAGCUUUUUACCAGGCAGGUGGCCUUGCUGUAAGCAUCCUGAGAGACAGGGGCUGGCCCCCAUCCCAGGGUUACCAAUCAUGUUUCCAUCACAGGUUUCUCAGAUGGACAAGGAUUUGUUCACAUUUCAUUAUUAUUCUUUUUUUUUUUUUUUUCCUUGGACCAUGGUUGAGAAGCCCUGGUUGCAAAGCUCAGUGUGAAAACCACGAUCCUUCUUGCACAACCCAGAAGGCAAAGAAUGACCUAGCAUUGCUCAUGGUGGUGAAAAAGCAGAUGGAUGGGAUGGAUGCCCCAUUUCUUUUUGAGCUAAUCUCAAGAGUUUGUCUGCCUGAGGGAGAAGCCUGAAAAGCUUUGGGUCCAUGAUGGCCAGCUGCCAGGAGCACAGCCCAGUGUUGUUCAGAGCCUACAGAAAGGAUGUUAGCACAGCCAGACUGCGGCCCUUGGCUGCUGUAGACACACUGUCAUCUCUCCACCAAAAGGAGACCAAACAACUAACCAAACAGCAGCACAUAUCUUCCAUCAGCAGGCACAGGCGCAGCAGACAUCGAAGCCUUUGCCAAAUGCACUCGUGGGCCACCAGCUGAGAGCUGGCAUUGGGCUAAUUACAUCAGAAUUCAUUAGGUCAAUUACUGCCUGUGUUCCCAAGGGGCUGAAGAGGGAUUCCAGCAAGUGCUGAGCACAUUGCAGCAGUGCAGUGCCAGGAGGCUCUGUCUCUUUCAGUGGCCCAUGCAGGAUGCAGUCACCAUUUCCGUCCUAUAUUUGGGGAUCUUCCUGAUGAACCAUUUGGGAAGCAGGAUGGGAAAAAGCCUUAAGAAUUAGGAAACUACUGGAGGGUGUUUUUCACGUGGGACAUCUUUGCUCAACAACACAGAAUGCACCUGAGGAGAUGGCAGCUGCUGACCAUUGCUAAACAGCAUCACUUGGAGAGGAAGGAUCAGAAAAGAGGAUAGUACGAGCUUAUACCCAACACUCCCACCUCCCCAUGUUGAAAAUAUCCACCAUUUGCCUUGGAGGUGCAUGAACUCAUUAACCUGUACAAAGGGACACACGGGGAGCAUCACCGACAGAUGCCAGCACUUCUGGCUGCACAGCUCUGAAAUUAUGGGACCAGGGCUUUGAGAUGCAGCAGAGCACUGCAGUGCACUGCCAACAGCCCACACCAACAGCCACAGACCAAAAGGCAGCAGCCACAUCACCAUUGGCCUGGGCUUCACGUGUCACUGAUUGACUCAGGUUUUAAUUACACCCCAAUAUCCCCCUGUCUCCUACAACACAAAGCUUUCAGCCAGGCAGAGAUUCAUAAAGAGCAGCAGCAACCACAGCAGCCCAGCCUUCAAGUCAGAUGCUAACAGCUUUGGACAAGUGUGGGAUUUUUAUACCCCUAUCUGCAGAGAAAUCUGAUGUUUAGUGCCCUGACUGCAAACAGGUCACCCUUAAACCCCUGAACAUCCCAGGCAAAAAAAAAAAAAAAAAAAAAAAAAAAAAAAAAAAAAAGAGGAAAAAAAGCAGUGCCGGAGGGGAAUUGUACUGGCUCUAAUCCCUUCUGCCAUUCUGCAUAUUCAUGGAACAUUGUCAUAACACAUCAGCAGGACAAAAGGUCUGUCGGCACCUCCUCCUCAUGCCUUUGAUAAACCACGAGACAAAUGCUGAGUAAACACUUGGAAUCCAUUCACUGCCCCAUUCUCAUCGGGAUGAGAAAGUCCUCCUCUUUCUUGCAGGCCCAGAGCUGCUCAGCCUAAUAAAGUACGGCCCACGGGCUGUGAAAAGAGAGGCCUAUGGAUGGUGAAAACAUGGAUUAUCUCAUUUCACCCUCCUUGUGUCAGACCCUGCUCACAUUUUGAGUGCACUUGGGCUGACACACACUGAAAAAAAAAAAAAAUAAUUAAAAAUUAAAAAAAAAAAAAGAAAGCCAGGGGGAAGAGGGUAUUUAGAGAACAGGAGAACUGUCUGUAAAAUUUCACAGAUGACCUUUCCCUAGUGGGAAAGUGAUUUGUUCCUGCCCCAUGACCCACACCAGCCAUCAUCAGGAGCUUUCACAUCCACAUCAGCAUUUCCCUAAACAUUGUGGUGCCAGACAAGAAAAAAAAAAACAGCACAAACUGAGCUCAUUUCAAGGCCUCAAACCCUGAGAAGUUCACGAGGCAUUGCCAAAAAGUGAGGUUGUGGCUUAAGAUGUCCCAUGCUUGGAACCAACCAGCUCCAUAUCUACAGGAGCGUGGGAGAGCUGGCUAGGACACAGAAGUGAUUAAGACUGGAAAAGGCCACUAAGAUCAUCCCAUCCAACCAUCCCUGUUCCACCAAGGUAACCUUGUAACCAUGUCCCUAAAAUGGAGCAUGGAGCAGAACAUCUCCUUCCACUACUGUCCCCACCCCCAUGUGCAAGAAGGGGGAUCCAUCUCUGCUUCUCCACGUCACCAGUAUCUUCCAAAUCCUAAACAUUGGGUGACUUCCACAAAGUUGCUCAGGACACCAGUUGCCAAAAUCUCCACUGCGUGCUUCCAACACCUACAGCAAAAGCCUCGGCUGCCCAUAUUUCUGGAGGCUUGGGCUAAAAGAGACUGCAAUAAAACAAACAAACAAAAACUUCAAUGACUCCAAACAGGGUAAGGAACUGGCUGUUUGAAAGCAGUCAUCUGAAAGAGAUAUUUUCCAAGUAAAUACCAUCCUUUAUUUGGAAGAACACGAGUGGUUCUCAAAUUGAAAAUUAUCUUCAGAGAUAGUACAUGGGGAAUGAGCACCAGAAAUGCAAAUACGCCCAUAAUAGAAAACAAGAAAUGGUUCUGAAUUGCUGUCAAAUGAUUAAGAAACAAUAAAAGUGCCGUUGAUUAA
Molecule: long non-coding RNA, 6257 nt
Organism: Tympanuchus pallidicinctus (lesser prairie-chicken)
Lineage: Eukaryota; Metazoa; Chordata; Aves; Galliformes; Phasianidae
Exons: 2
Source: RefSeq, a predicted model, not a curated record